This 772-nucleotide ribosomal RNA is filed under the name uncultured bacterium. Its description in RNAcentral is "bacterial SSU rRNA". It matches the Rfam family "Bacterial small subunit ribosomal RNA", at positions 68 to 822 of the family's 1533-position model. The record is from RNAcentral.
UUUCAUUUGUAGCAAUACACGUGAAUAUUCAGUGGCGUAAGGGUGCGUAACACGUGGGCAACCUGCCGAGAAGUGGGGGAUAGCUCGUCGAAAGGCGAAUUAAUACCGCAUGUGGUUAGUGCUGGAUUCAGCGCGAUACCAAAGCCGGGGCAACCUGGCGCUUCUUGAUGGGCCCGCGGCCUAUCAGCUAGUUGGUGAGGUAACGGCUCACCAAGGCUAUGACGGGUAGCUGGUCUGAGAGGACGACCAGCCACACUGGAACUGAGACACGGUCCAGACACCUACGGGUGGCAGCAGUCGAGAAUUUUUCUCAAUGGGGGAAACCCUGAAGGAGCGACGCCGCGUGGAGGAUGAAGGUCUUCGGAUUGUAAACUCCUGUCAUUUGGGAACAAUGUGCAUUGGUUAACUGCCGAUGCAUUGAUAGUACCAGAAGAGGAAGAGACGGCUAACUCUGUGCCAGCAGCCGCGGUAAUACAGAGGUCUCAAGCGUUGUUCGGAUUCAUUGGGCGUAAAGGGUGCGUAGGUGGCGGGGUUAGUCAGGUGUGAAAUCUCGGGGCUCAACCCCGAAACUGCACUUGAUACUGCCUUGCUAGAGUACUGGAGAGGAGAUUGGAAUUUACGGUGUACAGUGAAAUGCGUAGAUAUCCGUAAGGAAGACCAGUGGCGAAGGCGAAUCUCUGGACAGUUACUGACCACUGAGGCACGAAGGCCAGGGGGAGCAAACGGGAUUAGAUUCCCCGGUAGUCCUGGCAGUAACGGUGCGCGUUGGGGU